CACAUGCAAUGUCGAACGCGAAAGAGUUCUUCANNACUUGAGUAGAGUGGCGCACGGGUGACUAACGCGUAGAUAACCUACCUCCAUGUUUGGGAUAACCAGCCGAAAGGUGACUAAUACCGGAUAUGCUUGCUUUUCAUAAGUUUUGCAAGCAAAGGUGGCCUCUGAUUUAAGCUAUCGCAUGGAGAGGGGUCUGCGUACCAUUAGCUAGUUGGUGGGGUAAUGGCCUACCAAGGCAACGAUGGUUAGCGGGUCUGAGAGGAUGAUCCGUCACACUGGCACUGAAACACGGGCCAGACUCCUACGGGAGGCAGCAGUGAGGAAUAUUGCGCAAUGGGGGAAACCCUGACGCAGCGACGCCGCGUGAGUGAGGAAGGCCUUCGGGUCGUAAAGCUCUGUCAAAAGGGAAGAAAUGCAUAAAGGCUAAUACUCUUUAUGUUUGACGGUACCUUUAAAGGAAGCACCGGCUAACUCCGUGCCAGCAGCCGCGGUAAUACGGAGGGUGCAAGCGUUGUUCGGAAUUACUGGGCGUAAAGGGCGCGCAGGCGGCUUGGCAAGUCAGAUGUGAAAGCCCACGGCUUAACCGUGGACGUGCAUUUGAAACUGCCAGGCUUGAGUAUCAGAGGGGAAAGUGGAAUUCCUGGUGUAGAGGUGAAAUUCGUAGAUAUCAGGAGGAAUACCAGUGGCGAAGGCGACUUUCUGGCUGAAUACUGACGCUGAGGCGCGAAAGCGUGGGGAGCAAACAGGAUUAGAUACCCUGGUAGUCCACGCCGUAAACGAUGUCAACUAGAUGUAGGGGGUGUUGAUCCCCUCUGUGUCGCAGCUAACGCAUUAAGUUGACCGCCUGGGGAGUACGGUCGCAAGAUUAAAACUCAAAAGGAAUUGACGGGGGCCCGCACAAGCGGUGGAGUAUGUGGUUUAAUUCGAUGCAACGCGAAGAACCUUACCUGGUCUUGACAUCCCGAGAAUCUCUUGGAAACAAGAGAGUGCCCUCUUUGAGGGAGCUUGGUGACAGGUGCUGCAUGGCUGUCGUCAGCUCGUGUCGUGAGAUGUUGGGUUAAGUCCCGCAACGAGCGCAACCCUUACCUUUAGUUGCCAGCAGUUCGGCUGGGCACUCUAAAGGGACUGCCGGUGUCAAACCGGAGGAAGGUGGGGAUGACGUCAAGUCCUCAUGGCCUUUAUGACCAGGGCUACACACGUACUACAAUGGCCGGUACAAAGGGCAGCAACAGGGCGACCUGAAGCGAAUCCCGUAAAGCCGGUCUCAGUCCGGAUUGGAGUCUGCAACUCGACUCCAUGAAGUCGGAAUCGCUAGUAAUCGUGGAUCAGCAUGCCACGGUGAAUACGUUCCCGGGCCUUGUACACACCGCCCGUCACAAAGACGAGGAGUCGUUGUACAAGAAGCAGUGAGCNACUUUAGAGNAGGCUGCCAAGGUAUGGUAGGUAACUGGGGUG
Molecule: ribosomal RNA, 1455 nt
Filed under: Desulfogranum japonicum
Lineage: Bacteria; Pseudomonadati; Thermodesulfobacteriota; Desulfobulbia; Desulfobulbales; Desulfobulbaceae
Description: Desulfobulbus japonicus 16S ribosomal RNA
Rfam family: Bacterial small subunit ribosomal RNA
Source: RNAcentral